UACGAAGGGGGCUAGCGUUGUUCGGAAUCACUGGGCGUAAAGCGCACGUAGGCGGAUUUUUAAGUCAGGGGUGAAAUCCCGAGGCUCAACCUCGGAACUGCCUUUGAUACUGGAGAUCUUGAGUCCGGAAGAGGUAAGUGGAACUGCGAGUGUAGAGGCGAAAUUCGUAGAUAUUCGCAAGAACACCAGUGGCGAAGGCGGCUUACUGGGCCGGAACUGACGCUGAGGUGCGAAAGCGUGGGGAGCAAACAGG
RNAcentral lists this ribosomal RNA (253 nucleotides) under uncultured bacterium. RNAcentral describes it as "partial 16S ribosomal RNA". It matches the Rfam family "Bacterial small subunit ribosomal RNA", at positions 524 to 776 of the family's 1533-position model. The record is from RNAcentral.